This 500-nucleotide ribosomal RNA is filed under the name uncultured bacterium. RNAcentral describes it as "partial 16S ribosomal RNA". It matches the Rfam family "Bacterial small subunit ribosomal RNA", at positions 30 to 523 of the family's 1533-position model. The record is from RNAcentral.
AUUGAACGCUGGCGGAAUGCUUUACACAUGCAAGUCGAACGGCAGCACGGACUUCGGUCUGGUGGCGAGUGGCGAACGGGUGAGUAAUGUAUCGGAACGUGCCCAGUCGUGGGGGAUAACGUAGUGAAAAUUACGCUAAUACCGCAUACGAUCUAUGGGUGAAAGCGGGGGAUCGCAAGACCUCGCGCGAUUGGAGCGGCCAAUAUCAGAUUAGGUAGUUGGUGGGGUAAAGGCCCACCAAGCCAACGAUCUGUAUCUGGUCUGAGAGGACGACCAGCCAGACUGGAACUGAGACACGGUCCAGACUCCUACGGGAGGCAGCAGUGGGGAAUUUUGGACAAUGGGCGAAAGCCUGAUCCAGCCAUUCCGCGUGCAGGAUGAAGGCCCUCGGGUUGUAAACUGCUUUUGUACAGAACGAAAAGGUUUCUACUAAUACUAGGAGCUCAUGACGGUACUGUAAGAAUAAGCACCGGCUAACUACGUGCCAGCAGCCGCCGUAA